AUUGAACGCUGGCGGCAUGCUUUACACAUGCAAGUCGAACGGCAGCGCGGGCUUCGGCCUGGCGGCGAGUGGCGAACGGGUGAGUAAUACAUCGGAACGUGCCCAGUAGUGGGGGAUAGCUCGGCGAAAGCCGGAUUAAUACCGCAUACGACCUGAGGGUGAAAGCGGGGGAUCUUCGGACCUCGCGCUAUUGGAGCGGCCGAUGGCAGAUUAGCUAGUUGGUGGGGUAAAGGCCUACCAAGGCGACGAUCUGUAGCUGGUCUGAGAGGACGACCAGCCACACUGGGACUGAGACACGGCCCAGACUCCUACGGGAGGCAGCAGUGGGGAAUUUUGGACAAUGGGCGAAAGCCUGAUCCAGCAAUGCCGCGUGUGUGAUGAAGGCCUUCGGGCUGUAAAGCACUUUUGGCGGGAACGAAAAGGACUGUGCCAAUACCACGGUUCGAUGACGGUACCCGCAGAAUAAGCACCGGCUAACUACGU
This 483-nucleotide ribosomal RNA is filed under the name uncultured bacterium. RNAcentral's name for it is "partial 16S ribosomal RNA". It matches the Rfam family "Bacterial small subunit ribosomal RNA", at positions 29 to 506 of the family's 1533-position model. The record is from RNAcentral.